CCAAGCGGUGCAACCCUUAGUACAGGUACUGUACUCGAAUUAUUUUCUAUUUCCAAUUUUUUACUCAUAUUUAGGAAUGUCGUAUGAAUAUCAACAUCACAUUCAAGUAUUAUGAUUAUGUGUAUUUUCGUCAAUUUACGAAAAGAAUCCGUGGAUGUUUUAAUGAGAGAAACUUUUAGAAUGUUUUUUUUUUCUCUUUCUGCCACAUAUUCUCUCUUACUCACCCUCCCUCUCGCGCUCGCUCUCUCUCUCCUCCUCUAUCUUUCCCAGCUCUAUCUUAUUCUUUAUUUCUCUCUCAACAACCAAAUUACAUUAAAUUAGCUUCAAAAUUAUCAUUACUUUGACCUAUACUCUCUUUUUUACUCUUUUACUUGUUUCAGUCAUUUGACUGCGGCCAUGCUGGAACACCGCCUUUAGUCGAGCAACUCGACCCCGGGACUUAUUCGUUGUAAGCCCAGUACUUAUUCUAUCGGUCUCUUUUUGCCGAACCACUAAGUGACGGGGACAUAAACACACCAGCAUCGGUUGUCAAGCAAUGCUAGGGGGACAGACACAGACACACAAACAUACACGCACACACAUAUAUAUAUAUACAUAUAUACGACGGGCUUCUUUCAGUUUACGUCUACCAAAUCUACUCACAAGGCUUUGGUUGGCCCGAGGCUAUAGUAGAAGACACUUGCCCAAGAUGCCACGCAGUGGGACUGAACGUGGAACCAUGUGGCUGGUAGGCAAGAUACUUACCACACAGCCACUCCUGCGCAAGCUACUUACCACACAGCCACUCCUGCGCCUAUAUAUCAUAUAUUACUUUAAUAUAUCCUACGCGUUCUCAACAUUGUCAGUAAAAUAAUAUACUAUCGGAGGUGCAAUUGCUAGAAGCUGAAUGCGACAUUCCCGGCACGAAAAACCUUCAGCGACCGGAUUAGCAAAUAGUUUCGCGGGAAUUGCCUGGUGAAAGACUAGCUGGUAGGCUUCAAGGGAUCACCAGGGAAGACAUCACAUACAAAGUUUAAAUAUCAAGGACGAUACGAAACACGAAAAUUGUGUUGCCAGUACUAAAUGGAUAUAUUUAAACACGAGAAAACGAAAAUGGCUAUCUACAAAAUUAUUCCGAAUAUUUCUCGCUAAUUAUUCUUAUAUAUAUAUAUAUAUCUGUGUGUGUGUGUAUGUAUGUAUAUAUAUAUACAGUUCAUACCGUCCUGUUUUCUCUGACUUAAGUUUCCUGGUGUAGGUGCUGUCCUUUAUUCACCCACCUGUUUCCGUAUUUCCUAUUUCUUUCAUUCAUCCUUUUGUGAUGCUUCAUGAAUUUUUAAGUUUUAGUAUAUCCAUGUUCAAAUACAUGUCUUUUUCGUCCGGAAUGGUCGUCAAUACGAGGAAUGUAACCAUUCUCUCAUAACGCGAGGCAGGACUGAAAAUGCAUAGAAUUCUCAUAUUCAAUUUGCUUUUAACUAUUGCAAUUGGCGAACCGCUAAGUUAUUUUAUCGAUCUUCUUUGGCGAACCACUAGAUUAUUUUAUCGAUCUCCUUUGGCGAACCGCUAAGUUAUUUUAUCGAUCACGCUUGGCGAACCGCUAAGUUAUUUUAUCGAUCUCGAUUGGUGAACCGCUAAGCUAUUUUAUCGAUAUCCUUUGGUGAACAGCUAAUUUAUUUAUCGAUCAACUUUGGCGAACCGGUAAGUUAUACUAUUGAUAACGUUUGGCGAACUGCUAAGCUAUUUUUCGAUCCCUUAUGGCGAACCGCUACGUUAUUUUAUCGUUCACAUUCAGCGAACCACUGGGUUAUUUUAUCGAUCUCCUUUGGCGCUUAUUCGUUCAUUCCACUCUUCGUUCUUUCUUUCACCCUCUCUCACAUUUCUUUGCCUUCUUUUCUUACUCACUUUUCACUUCACUAUGUCCCUGUCAUUCUUUUCGUCUCUCCUUAAUUCUUCUGUCCAUCCGCUUCUGCAACUCUCUCUCUCUCUCUCUCUUCUCUUCUCCUUCCUUCAUUCUUUUGUUCCCCUUUUUCUCUCUCUUCUCUUCCCACGUGACCGACACACCAGACUGUUAGCUCUCUCUUUUUGAGUCUGACCGUGGUCAUGGCAACAUCGAUAUUCCUCUCUGUGUUUGUGAAAUCUAGUAUGCCUGCCGUAAGGCUUCAUUUCCACACACGCCAGCUUAAUUCAAUUCCUUCCCAGUCGAAAGACACCUGUUAUAUCCUGUUAUUAUUAUUAUUAUUAUUAUUAUUAUUAUUAUUAUUAUUAUUAUUAUUAUUAUUGUUAUUGUUAUUGUUAUUAUUAUUAUUAUUAUUAUUAUUAUUAUUAUUAUUAUUAUUAUUGAGUGAGCGAGCAGAGCAUGCCAUCAAAGUGACACUGGGGUAAAAUAUACGAAGCCCAGUAUACCCAUCAUGACUACCCGUCUGAUAAGGGUACACCAGGCACAUGCAUCACAACCAUAUGUGCGCGACAUGGUGAUCUCAUAUCAAGAUAAACAGCACAUGACCUUGCAGGUGGAGCCCAGUUAGAAUUUUCUUCAGAUCGAGUAACCCAUCCCGCUCAAAAGGUCCCUGAAUAAGGGUUGUUUAAGGACGUUGAACGAAACACCCAUGUUUCCAGAGGUGAUUUAUUCAAACCCCAAAGAAUCCUUCUCAACACAUGGUUAUGAUGCUCCCCCACUACUUCUGCUCGUGAUCAGAGAUGCACAUAUCGUCAGCCACUAAGGGACAUGCUCAACUGGUUACGGUCAAACAACUGACAAGCAAAUCUGUGGUAUUGAGCAGAAUAUUUGCUGUAGCCCAUCUUUUAUACCAAGACAAAACAAUGUACAUGAUAACACUUCCAAUCAGUUAAGAUCAGAAGCCAUGAGAGCUACUGCCUGGUACUGCAUCAGGGCAUUUAUUAUUAUUAUUAUUAUUAUUAUUAUUAUUAUUAUUAUUAUUACUUUUUUUUUCUUCUUUCAAAUUUGCUUCCAUUUCUUGCCGAGUGUCUUCCCGACUCCUAGGGCAAAGAAACUCAUAGCAUACAUUGGUAGGCCAUUAAACCAAACUCAAUAGUUCGUUCAUUUUUUUUUUUUUUUUUUAAAGUUAAAUUAAAAUACAUGAGCAGCAACAGUUCUCACAUCGACAAUGCUCUUCUCAAUACGUGUGAUGUACCAGUUAAGACAAUCUUUUGCACUUCUUGCAGGGAUGGUAAGCCAGGGAUCAUUCUCAUAUAAUUUUCGGUUCCCUUCUUGAUCAUUCCUAGUGCUCCUACGAUCACUGGUAUUGUAACCGCCUUGAGAUGCCACAUUUUCUCAAUUUCAAUGAGUAGGUCUUUAUAUUUUCUGAGCUUGUCAAACUCUUUCGCUGAGAUAUUAUGAUCACAGGGGAUGCUUAUUAUUAUUAUUAUUAUUAUUAUUAUUAUUAUUAUUAUUAUUAUUAUUAUUAUCAUUAUUAUUAUUGUUGUUAUUUUUAUUGUAUUUUGUAUUUAUAUUUGUGUAACGUUGUCUGUUUUUCCGUCCUUGUUUUCGUAUACAUUCGAUGCUUUCUUCCAAGGAAUCUAAUGCUCUUUGCUUAGUUUUUCCUUGGGACUGGCUGGAUUAGAGCAAUCUCAAAAUUAAUCAGCCGAAAUUGCGAGGAUGAUCCGGUUCUUGACUGAGGAUAGAAAGCUAUGAGUGACCCGUCCUUGUUAUUUUGUAUCGUCUAUCUGGAUGUUUUGUUCUUCCUUUUUCUAUCACCUAGUUGUCCGGAUAUUUUGCGUUCUUGUCCCAUUUUGUAUUAUAUAUAUAUAGCGACGUACGUACACUUUGUUCUCUUUUAUAUAUAUAUAUAUAUAUAUAUAUAUAUAUAUAUAUAUAUAUAUAUAUAUAUACAUACAUACAUACAUACAUACAUACAUACAUACAUACAUACAUACAUACAUACAUACAUACAUAUAUAAGCACACUUUCUUAUUGUUGAUGGGUGCUUAAUAUUUGACACAUUUCCGUUCAUGGAAAUCAUAAUCAUGUAUAAUUAAUAUUUGGUAAAUGUAUUUCGUGUUUUUGUACAAAUUUUUGUUGAUUUAACUCCCAAAAUAACGGGUAAUAUUUCACACAGCUUUCUGAAAUAAAAUAUUUACAAACCACACUCUUUUUGUCUUUACAGAAAAUACAAGAAAUAUUUCUCUCACUUAGAAAGCUGUCUUCACAGUUUCAAACAAUAUUUCCAAGAAUUUGGAGGAAAAUAAGAAAAUGGAGCCAAAUAAUAGUGCCAAUGUUUGUACUAGAAUUUUAGAAGAAACAAAUAUUAAAAUGGUGAAUGUUUAUUUUCCAGUAAUAGUGUAUCUCGGAAUUGCAAUGAUACUUGGAUCAAUUGGAAAUUGCUUUGUAUCAUAUAUAUACUAUUAUAAAUUUGAUGAGACAGCUACGCAUAUAUUCACUGUAGCACUCUCCAUAUGUGAUUUUCUAACUUGCGUAAUAUGUAUACCUAUGGACAUUAUAGUUCUAUAUUUUCCCUACACUUUUCACAGUGAUACUGCAUGCCGUGUUAUACGUUAUGCGGUAGCUAUAGCAAUAAUCAACUCGGCUUUGAUUGUGUUCAUUAUAGCAGUUGAUAGAUACAUUCUCAUAUGUCGACCUCUUAAGCAAAAUAUUUCCGUUAAAAACUCAAAAAAAAUUCUAGUAUUUUUAACAAUGUGCGCAUUAGUUCUUUGUAUGCCAGCAUUUUUUGUACACAGCAGACAAAACAAAAUGGUGGGACAAUGUGGAAAUAUUGGAGAAAUGUGUUCACUUUCUCCCUAUAUAAAUGGCACAAUGUAUCCUUUAGUUUAUUAUACUUUCGGAUUGACAGCUUCCUCUGGUGUAUUUAUAACUUUUGUGGUUAUAUACUUAUUAAUUGGAAUGCGCAUUUGGAAAAUUUACAAAGCGAAGAAAAAAAGAGCAAAUCAUGAAGUUUACACAACUUGUACCAUUUCCAAAUCUGAAAUUCUUUUUGCCGAUACUAGUUCUUCAGAGAAGCGAUCUACCUCUUUUGCGCGUCUUAAAAAACGAUCAAUGCCACCAGCUCGGUCUAGUUUAAUAUUUUUCAUCAUCACUUUGGUCUGGAUUAUCGCUUAUAUACCACAUUUCGGCGGAGUAUUCUGGAGGUUGUUUGUUAAAGAUUUUGAUGACGUUUCAAGUGAUAAAGAUCUAGUGAUUAACAAGUUUUUGUCCUAUUCUUUUUAUCUCAGCCCUGCUCUUCACCCAUACAUCUAUGGACUCUUCAGUCGACAGUUUCGUAAUGAAUUGCUGGUCUCAUUUCGCAAAAUUUCCCAACCAUGUAAAGAAAAAAAUAUCGAAACUCGUUGAAUUCACCACCAUAUAACCAUUCAUAUGUGAAAUAUGUCACCCAAAAUGAACACUACAAGUUCUUCCCAGUUUAAAAUAUAUAGAAGCUAAGAAGUUUUUUCUUUUUCUUUUUUUUUUUCAUCUUUCACUUGAACACGAUUCGCCAUAUAAAAGAAUUUUACUUCAACAUUUAAGAGUUAUUAUAAAAGAAAUAAAACGUUCAGAAUAUGAACUAGUUAAACUACACUGAACUAAUUAAAGGGUAUUUGGUGAGUACUGCGUGUCUGCAUAUACAUAUGUGCGUGUGUGCUUGUGUGUGUGUGUGUGUGUGUAUAUGUGCGCGCGCAUGUAUUUAUCCAUAGAACAUUGAAUUAAACAAUAAACUUUGUUGCUCCCAUGAACAGCGAUGAAGCCACUUAAUAGAUGAUAUCUUUAACCAAAUGACGUGCAAGAAAUAGUAGCCGAAUUGAUUUCAGACUGCACCGUAACAUCUUUAAAGAACAAAGUACACAUUGUGAAUGAAGUUUGCGAUUUAAUCAGACAAGGAAAUGAAAUAGUAAUGAGAUUCUCAUAACGAAAGGGUAACUACUCAUGUUCAGUCUAUAUUGCUUCCAGCUAUGCACAUUUCAGAAAAGAAGCAAGGAGGUACCUUCACACACAUACACAGACACACACACACACACACACACACACACACACAGUACACGGAUGCACGAGGCGCGUCACAUCUCAUGAGGCAUCCUUACUCACCUGGUAUCUUUAAAUUGCCAAAUCUGCUACCGUGAGAAAAUGAGCACAUUUCGCAAUGUCUGCGCUGCCUGGAGAAAUAUCCGUUAUAAGAACCCUACGUUGCUGAAACAUCACUCCUUGCAACACGCCGAUUAACUUAAGCUAACAUUCUGACUACCCUAUCACGUAAGUUAUUUAAUGAAGAAGCAAGAGAUGCUGCUAAAAUAGUUAAAACAAAGACGUUACUUCAACUGACGCAAUAAACGCUCUCA
This 6261-nucleotide long non-coding RNA is filed under the name Octopus vulgaris (common octopus). The record is from RNAcentral. Lineage: Eukaryota; Metazoa; Mollusca; Cephalopoda; Octopoda; Octopodidae.